AUGGGGACGCGUUCGGAGGAGCUCGCUGCCAGGUUGGCGGCCGGGGGCCCCGGCGGCGUCGGCGGACCAGCAGGAGGAGGAUGCGGGGAGGGGCAGCACGAGCGGGUGGUCGCGCUCCGCGAGAUCAAGAACCAGACCUUCGGGAACCAGACCAAGAAGCUCCUCUACCUCUGCCUGGGUGCCGUGUUAGCGGUCGUCACGGCGCGUCACCAGCCAUGCUCGUCCAUGAGCGGCCGCGGCGGAGUACUUUGCUUGCGGCGUAGACGAUGGCGCGCAUGCCGUGCUUGCUGCUGGAGCCGUGGGGCACCUCCUCGCCCACCCCGACAACAAGUACCAUCCUUCUUCCGCGAUGCUGCUGCAUGCCAGGAUUCGCAGUGGCACCACCGCAGCCAGCAAGGACACAAGCUCACGAGGAUUGUUGCCGCUUCGGAGGACAUGGGAGCUGCCAUAGCCAGCGAGUACGUGAGCGCACGUAGGCACCAUCGCUUUCGAGGAUGCGAGAGCCAUCUCAGCUUGAGAGAAUGCGCAUACCAUCUCCAGUGUGUGCAACAAGUGUUCCUCUAA
This 564-nucleotide ribosomal RNA is filed under the name Triticum aestivum (bread wheat). RNAcentral's name for it is "partial small subunit ribosomal RNA". The record is from RNAcentral. Lineage: Eukaryota; Viridiplantae; Streptophyta; Magnoliopsida; Poales; Poaceae.